RNAcentral lists this ribosomal RNA (253 nucleotides) under uncultured bacterium. Its description in RNAcentral is "partial 16S ribosomal RNA". It matches the Rfam family "Bacterial small subunit ribosomal RNA", at positions 524 to 776 of the family's 1533-position model. The record is from RNAcentral.
UACGGAGGGGGCAAGCGUUGUUCGGAAUUACUGGGCGUAAAGCGCGCGUAGGCGGAUAGUCAAGUUGGGGGUGAAAGCCCGAGGCUCAACCUCGGAAAUGCCUUCAAAACUGGCUGUCUUGAGUCCGGAAGAGGUAAGGGGAAUUCCUAGUGUAGAGGUGAAAUUCGUAGAUAUUAGGAAGAACACCAGUGGCGAAGGCGCCUUACUGGUCCGGUACUGACGCUGAGGUGCGAAAGCGUGGGGAGCAAACAGG